AGCUAGGCCUAACAUUGUCAGUUCGCCAGCUUCUUAGAGGGACUAUCGGUGUUUAACCGACGGAAGUUUGAGGCAAUAACAGGUCUGUGAUGCCCUUAGAUGCUCUGGGCCGCACGCGCGCUACACUGAUGAAGUCAUCGAGUUCAUUUCCUUUAUCGGAAGAUAUGGGUAAUCUUUUGAAACUUCAUCGUGCUGGGGAUAGAGCAUUGCAACUAUUGCUCUUGAACGAGGAAUCCCUAGUAAGUACAAGUCACUAGCUUGUGCUGAUUACGUCCCUGCCCUUUGUACACACCGCCCGUCGCUACUACCGAUUGAAUGGCUUAGUGAGGCCUUCGGAUUGAAAUUCGGAGACUGGCAACAGACUCUUGGUUUUGAAAAGUUGGACAAACUUGGUCAUUUAGAGGAAGUAAAAGUCGUAACAAGGUUUCCGUAGGUGAACCUGCGG
RNAcentral lists this ribosomal RNA (445 nucleotides) under Rhizophagus irregularis. RNAcentral's name for it is "SSU rRNA". It matches the Rfam family "Eukaryotic small subunit ribosomal RNA", at positions 1357 to 1820 of the family's 1831-position model. The record is from RNAcentral. Lineage: Eukaryota; Fungi; Glomeromycota; Glomeromycetes; Glomerales; Glomeraceae.